This 512-nucleotide ribosomal RNA is filed under the name uncultured bacterium. Its description in RNAcentral is "partial 16S ribosomal RNA". It matches the Rfam family "Bacterial small subunit ribosomal RNA", at positions 28 to 507 of the family's 1533-position model. The record is from RNAcentral.
GAUGAACGCUGGCGGCGUGCCUAAUACAUGCAAGUCGAACGAAACUUCUUUAUCACCGAGUGCUUGCACUCACCGAUAAAGAGUUGAGUGGCGAACGGGUGAGUAACACGUGGGCAACCUGCCCAAAAGAGGGGGAUAACACUUGGAAACAGGUGCUAAUACCGCAUAACCAUAGUUACCGCAUGGUAACUAUGUAAAAGGUGGCUAUACUACCGCUUUUGGAUGGGCCCGCGGCGCAUUAGCUAGUUGGUAGGGUAAAGGCUUACCAAGGCAAUGAUGCGUAGCCGAAGUGAGAGGUUGAUCGGCCACAUUGGGACUGAGACACGGCCCAAACUCCUACGGGAGGCAGCAGUAGGGAAUCUUCCGCAAUGGGCGAAAGCCUGAUGGAGCAACGCCGCGUGGGUGAAGAAGGUCUUCGGAUCGUAAAACCCUGUUGUUAGAGAAGAAAGUGCGUGAGAGUAACUGUUCACGUUUCGACGGUAUCUAACCAGAAAGCCACGGCUAACUACGUG